CCCUGAAGGCAGUCACCUCCUCGACGUGGUGACGUCACUCUGUUUCCUUCACAGCCUCAGGUCCUGGCAUCUAGUACUUGCCAGCUAACAAACAUUCAAACAACUUGGCGAUAAACUGCCAUUUCAUGGAUUAUUUAACUAGUCAGCAACUGGUUAAUGCAGAAGUGACAUUUCCUUUCUUCUUUCGUUUUUGCUUAUACACAAAUACCUAUCAGUUGCUAAUUCUUCCACAGUAUCUGCUGUGUUCUUGGUGUCUCCGACAAGACUGUGAGUGGCUUGAAAACACAGAUUGCCUUCGAAUUGUAGAACUAGGAACUGGGGAGGGGCAGGCACAGCAUCUUUGAGAUAACCCAGGAGCCACGACAGAGAUGGGGAAAUGAGGGCAGAGAGACCGGCCCAACCUGGGAGGCCUCAGCGCAAGCAGGACUGUGGGCUCUGACGGUGCCUCAGAAGUGAAUCAGCACCACUGCCUUCUGUCCUUGGGAUACUCCACUGAGCGCAACCGUGGGACACGCCAACAGCCAAGCGGGGCCCUCAGCCCGGCCUUGCCCUGCAGGCACUCACAGCAGGACAGACACGGCUGGAAGGAGGCGUUCUCCAAAGGAAACUGGCGCUGUGCGGACACAGGCAGAAUUAAAGUUUCAUGUUCAACCCGAAGUCUCUGAUAAGCCCUUAAGUGCAAGCUGGUGUAGUGGAUAUGUGGGCGGCAGGCCUGUGACUCAGCGUUUCCCGCCGGAACGUUGUCAGCUACACGAAGCUGUGCCACUUACAGGAGAACCACUGGAUACUGAGACUCGGACGAGGUCAGCAGAGAAAGCAGCUAAACGGAUUCACCUGUUCUCUCAGUGACUGUUGAGUAAUGAAGGCCUGAGGCAGGACUGAGGGUACCUGUCCCACUGAGACUGCAGUGAGCUUUGAUGGUGCCUGUAUCAGGUGCAGGGGAUAAUGCAGCGGCUCUGAUGUCGUGGAGCUUACAUGGACAUCACAGAGACAGUUCACCCAAUCACCUCUCAGGAAAAGAGUUCAACAGAAAUCAUAACCAUUCAGAAUGGAGGCCAAGAACUGACCCCAUGUGGUGGCACAUGCCUGUGGUCCCAGCUACUCAGAAGGCUGAGGUGGGAGGAUCAUCUGAACCCAGAAGGUCAAGGCUGCAGUGAGCCAUGAUGGCACUGCUGCACUCCUGCCUAGGUGACAGAGUGAGACCCUGUCUUCAAAAGAUAAAAUGAAACAAUCCCUGGCCCCAGGUCAUCCUCUUGCAUAUGUUCAAAUGCUUGCUGUCCUGUAAAGACGCUCCACAAGCAUCAGGAGGAAGAAGGCUGGUUGAGUCCCAGAAUAACACACAGCAGGCAAAGUGCUGCUGUGGUUUCAGAAAGGACUUGCGACGCCAGGUGCAGUGGCUCACACCUGUAAUCCCAGCACUUUGGGAGGCCAAGGCAGGCAGAUCACCUGAGGUCAGGAGUUCGAGACCAGUCUGGCCAACUUGGUGAAACCCUGUCUCUACUAAAAAUACAAAAAUUGGCUGGGCAUGGUGUCACACGCCUAUAAUCCCAGCUACUCAGGAGGCUGAGGCAACUAGAAGCCCUUGAACCUGGGAGGUGGAGGUUGCAAUGAACCGAGAUCACGCCACGGAACUCUAGCCUGGGCGACAGAGCAAGACUCUGUCUCAAAAAAAAAAAAAAAAAAAAAAUGGUGCAAUCUCUAGAGACAUUGAAUUAAAGUCCACUUUGCUAGUUCUCCAGGAGCUUGUGAAGUCUGGUUCUCUCCUCUUUCUGAAACAUCCAGUCCUCAACUGGGGAGUCUUUCCCAAUCUUGUGUCUCAUAAACUCAUUCCUCUUCUUUAUGAGGGUUAUGGCCAGGCAGGUCAUCAAGGUGCAAGUGCAGUCUC
Long non-coding RNA from Callithrix jacchus (white-tufted-ear marmoset), 1885 nucleotides. NCBI's taxonomy places the organism in Eukaryota, Metazoa, Chordata, Mammalia, Primates, Cebidae. The record is from Ensembl.